RNAcentral lists this ribosomal RNA (495 nucleotides) under uncultured bacterium. Its description in RNAcentral is "partial 16S ribosomal RNA". It matches the Rfam family "Bacterial small subunit ribosomal RNA", at positions 30 to 507 of the family's 1533-position model. The record is from RNAcentral.
UGAACGCUGGCGGCGUGCCUAAUACAUGCAAGUCGAGCGAAUAGACGAGGAGCUUGCUCCUCUGACGUUAGCGGCGGACGGGUGAGUAACACGUGGAUAACCUACCUAUAAGACUGGGAUAACUUCGGGAAACCGGAGCUAAUACCGGAUAAUAUAUUGAACCGCAUGGUUCAAUAGUGAAAGACGGUUUUGCUGUCACUUAUAGAUGGAUCCGCGCCGCAUUAGCUAGUUGGUAAGGUAACGGCUUACCAAGGCGACGAUGCGUAGCCGACCUGAGAGGGUGAUCGGCCACACUGGAACUGAGACACGGUCCAGACUCCUACGGGAGGCAGCAGUAGGGAAUCUUCCGCAAUGGGCGAAAGCUUGACGGAGCAACGCCGCGUGAGUGAUGAAGGUCUUCGGAUCGUAAAACUCUGUUAUUAGGGAAGAACAAAUGUGUAAGUAACUAUGCACGUCUUGACGGUACCUAAUCAGAAAGCCACGGCUAACUACGUG